This is an RNA transcript of Seriola aureovittata, 2195 nucleotides long. RefSeq lists it as uncharacterized. The transcript is spliced from 5 exons. NCBI's taxonomy places the organism in Eukaryota, Metazoa, Chordata, Actinopteri, Carangiformes, Carangidae. The record is from RefSeq and is a predicted model, not a curated record.
GUCAGGCCCCUUCAAAUGGCCACCAGAUAAAUCUCAAGGGUUGUGAGAUUAUUAGAGGGAAAGGACAGAAGAAGUUCUGAUACACAGAUCUGUUUUCAGUAUGAAUUUUUCUCUUAUCUUUGAUUUUAAGUGACAUAUUGGCUUGUUUUAACACUUACCGAGUGGGAAUCCGGCCAAAACACGGUGACCACAACUGUACACUGGUUUAAGUGUAAAACGUAAAUAAUCAAGUUAACUACAAGUCAUGGUUUUAUAAUUAUAGGCUAUAUCCAUCGCUGACACUGAUAGCCAAUUUAAAGAUAGUGUUUACGUUCAAUUAAUGUAAAACGGCCGUUUAACGUCCUCUCGUUCCUCAUGUAAUGCCUGCUGUCUACUGUACCUACUUACCUCUCUCUACUGUCUCUGCUACGACCCAUUAUUUUACGUUGCCAUGGUUACCAGGCAACAAACUACGCUUGGCAUGUCGUGUGCCGGAUUUUUUUUUCUUUCUUUCUUCUUUAACGUUGUGAAUGUAAAAGACAGGGACCGUUUGUUUUCUGUAACGUUGUACAAAACUGAGCAUGUUAGUGAAUAAUACUGAUAAGGAACCAUGGAGACAAAGAACACGCAGCCAACUUUCCCUUGGUACAAGGAGAGGUUGCAGACCAAGUAUCUUAAAGCCCCAACAAACAAGAUUUCCUCGGUCAGCAGUAGUUGGCGUUUUGUAAAUGUGAACCUCGAUGAUUGCUCUUCAGUCUUAUCUGAGGCCCGAAGAGGUGUCUCACCGGUUAUUUUCCAUAACCCUUCAAAUCACAGUUCCACUCAAAAGCCUAGAAAGAGCAUCCCUAAAGAGCAUGCAUGCUUCUCAAAGCAGAUGAUCCGAAAGCAGAUUCGCAGAGAAUAUGUGGCCUCUGUGGAGGGAAACAUCAAACAGCAUCCUUUAGCUAUGUACCCGCACUAUAAGGAUCACAUGACCGCAGAGUUAUUUGAUAAGGUGGUAUCCAUUUUGGACCCAGACAUGUGCGUAAACAGCGCCUCUUCACUUCCUACGCCUACAACACACCAUGCAGAGGAGGAAGAAGAAGAGGAACACUGUAAAGAGCCAACAGCUCUGACGUCCAAAGUCCAAGUCCUGGAAACCCAUAUAUACUACAAAUGAAUGGAAACGGUAUCAAGAAAGGCCAGAAAGUCAAAGUGAAUCAACUGAGCAACCAUGAAGACAUGAAAGUAGCCACCAAACUUUUCAGCAGAUGGUUUGUUUCUCCGGAUGAAGAGAUCAACGUUCCUGAAUCUCCCAUACUUCAACACUCUUCAUCAACCACCUUCCCCAUUUAAGUGGAGAACGCCAACUGUUUCUGAGUUCAAGAAUAAAACCUUGUCAAAGCCACAUACAGGGAGGACAGUUACAUUUCUAAAGCCUUUGAGCCAAAUAUAGUACAGAAAGAGUAAAGUUUACAAAAUAUUAAGCACACAAAUAGAAUUAAAAUAUCACUUUUGAUGACUGCUGAUGAGAAAAAUCCAGAAACACGUACAGCAAAGAGCCUGGUAACUGAAUCCGAAAACCUGGAAGAAAACUGGCACAGAUGACUUCAAGACACAGGCAACAUGUUCAAGGAGCUGGAUUUUAAAAUCAAAACAAGUGAUAAGAUGAGGACUACCACCUGCCACAAAAAUCCAUAUCCCCUUCACUAUCUAUUAAAAAUGGGGGACAGCUGGUUUGAUGACAAGAUGAGGAGGUACAACAAAUGUACAGUAUGUCACCGAAGCUGUCAGGAGUUAUGUAAUCCACAAUGGACUAAGCAUGACCAGGGAAAAAAUGUGAGACUAUAUAUUUAGAGGCAGUCAGCAUGUGUGUUCAGAGCAUUUGCAUAAAGGAAAUGAUCUAAAAAAAGAAACAGAAAAACAGAAGAGAAAAUAAAGAGAUGUUAAUCUAAAAUACAUCCCUUUUUUUCAUUGUUCUAUCUGAAUCAUUUCAAUAAAAGAGGGGUGGGUCUUUCUGAGUGCAUAAGGGAGACAUUUAACUACUGUAUCAGCAAAGGGGGCAGAUAUUACCCUGAACUGCAUGUUGUAUUAGCUCCAACUAUUUGUCCUGUCUAUUCUACUGUAUAUAACAGUAAUUCCUAAUACAGCUAGUCAAAUAACAUGACCUUGGCUCAGAUAAGCAACAAAAAAUGAUGUAUGGAUUAACCAAUUAAAUAAUAAUUACUUAAAACUGA